This 780-nucleotide long non-coding RNA is filed under the name Mustela putorius furo (domestic ferret). Its description in RNAcentral is "lncRNA (ENSMPUG00000031067.1)". Lineage: Eukaryota; Metazoa; Chordata; Mammalia; Carnivora; Mustelidae. The record is from RNAcentral.
GCUCGGUCGUAUCACAAGGACAGCCAGGGAAACGUCUUUGCUAUUGUAAAAGAAUACUUGCUCAAUUAGAAAAUAAGUGUACAAAACAUGGGGGGGGGUGCCAUGUGGGAACAUUACCAUCUUUACGUGUAGAUGUACUUACUUUUAUUUAUCUCUGUAUCUUCUUAUCUAUCACUGUAUGAGUGUCUACUGAGCUCUUGGAAUAUUCGCGGGCGUCCUGACGUCUCUCCACCCACGCACGGCUUCAUUGCCAUGAAACUACUCGCCUCCUAAAUUGUGUCGCCUUUGAGACGUGUGGCGGCGGCCGAGUCCCGCCUCGCUGGGCGCGGCCCCUCCGCUUAGGGAAAGCACUCUUCUCCCCGGGCCGCGCCGGCGGUAACCGCGGCCUCGGACGCCAGCACCGGCCUCGCCGCCCGGGAACUUUCUCCCGUUGCCUGUUUGCUGGACUGUUUCUCACUGAUCUGAAUAGUUCGAAUAUAGAGGCUUGUGUUCAUCCUUACAUCUCUCCAAAGUUUGCAGGGUGCCUGGCACAUAGUAAGUAUUCAAUAAAUGUUUGCUCUAUGAAUUGCAACAUUUGUAAGAAAAUUCAAAUAAUUCAGAUGCAGAAAACAUCGAGGCUGAAUGCACUAUCAGAUCAUGGUGUCCAAUUUCAUUUCAUAAGAGGAAGACUGUGACCCACAGCCCAGUCCUUGAUUUACCCAAGGCCUCCCAGGGGGUAAGGUCAGAUCCUUGGUGGUCCCCAGGGUUCCUUUCCUUGUUUCUCAGGAUGCUGCCUGCCCU